RNAcentral lists this ribosomal RNA (253 nucleotides) under uncultured bacterium. Its description in RNAcentral is "partial 16S ribosomal RNA". It matches the Rfam family "Bacterial small subunit ribosomal RNA", at positions 524 to 776 of the family's 1533-position model. The record is from RNAcentral.
GACAGAGGUGCCGAGCGUUAGGCGGAAUCACUGGGCUUAAAGCGUGUGUAGGCGGAUCCGUAAGUACCUUGUGAAAUCCCACGGCUCAACCGUGGAACUGCUCGGUAUACUGCGGAUCUUGAGCCACCUAGGGGCGAGCGGAACAAGUGGUGGAGCGGUGAAAUGCGUAGAUAUCACUUGGAACGCCAAUGGUGAAAACAGCUCGCUGGGGGUGUGCUGACGCUGAGACACGAAAGCCAGGGGAGCAAACGGG